UUAUUUAAAUAACGGAGAGUUUGAUCCUGGCUCAGAACGAACGCUGGCGGCGCGUUUUAAACAUGCAAG
RNAcentral lists this ribosomal RNA (69 nucleotides) under Spirochaetales bacterium. RNAcentral's name for it is "partial 16S ribosomal RNA". The stretch from base 9 to 69 matches the Rfam family "Bacterial small subunit ribosomal RNA", at positions 1 to 61 of the family's 1533-position model. Lineage: Bacteria; Pseudomonadati; Spirochaetota; Spirochaetia; Spirochaetales. The record is from RNAcentral.